This 1092-nucleotide long non-coding RNA is filed under the name Canis lupus familiaris (dog). Its description in RNAcentral is "lncRNA (ENSCAFG00040007057.1)". Lineage: Eukaryota; Metazoa; Chordata; Mammalia; Carnivora; Canidae. The record is from RNAcentral.
GAGCCCUCAGAGAGCCCAGCAGGGGCUGCACAUAGCAGGCAUGCUCGAUACUGCUGCUGCCUGAAUCGCCCACAUGCUGGCGGAGGCCGACUCUGCAUCACCACGCGCACUUUGACGAAGCCACUCUCCCCUCCUUCACUCCUUCAUCCACUCGGAGCAAUCACUAAAAAGAGCAAGAGAAAUGCUUUACUAUCAAGCAAAAAUGCAAGAUGCCAAAUUGGGCAAAGAACAAAAAGGAACGUACACACUGAAUGUGCACGUGGUAAGCGCCAGGAGGGAGCUCACAAACGUGACCUCUGGACGAGUGGAGGAAUAUGGAAAGUCUUCAUUUGCAAAGCUCCCAGUACUGGCAGCGCCGUGGCUGCAGCUCCAGCUCGGAGAGGAGGAGGGACUCAGCCAUGCAGCCACUGGAGCUCAGGCACUUCGAUACCUGCUGUUGAUUCCCUGAGAGUCCUUGAUGCGGAACCCACCCGGGAACUUGAGAGAGCCGUGAGAAACCAUUUCCCAAAAGCCUUCCCAGACUUUAUCUGGCCCAAGUUCCCAGGUGACGGGGUUGCAAGGCCGCCCGCCACGCCCACGGUGACAGAGCCUGACUCCCAGCUCGCAGGAGCAUCCUUCACGCCGCGGCGGCCUUCUAGCUCCAGAGCAGGGACGCGAGGUUCUUUUGUACCAUUCUGGAAGAUGGAGAAACUGGAUGACACAGGUUCUGGGAACCAAGAUGGCCUCACCUCCCUCCAUGCAGGUGACCCUGCCAUCUCUGCUCCUGUGUCGGGGUUUCCUAAAUGCACUCCCUGUGUUGGCUGUAGUUAUGUGAACAUUUACUUGUUGCUUAAAAUUAAGGUAAAAGAAUCCCUGGAGAGACCUGUUUACAAAAAAAAAAAAAAAAAAAAACUAAACGCAAGAAUUCCUCCAAUAGCUAAAUAUCCUGUCACAAAGAAUGCAAACUUAACUUGUAUGCAUUCUGGGCAAACUGAUCUAGACCUGCACCGUAUCUGGAAUCUGGGUGGACGUGGGCCGGGGUUUUCCUCUUACUCAUCUCUUACUAGGGGUGCUGGCUCACUCCCAGCUGUAGAUCCCCCGUCUGCAAAAUGA